UUAUCCGGAUUUAUUGGGUUUAAAGGGUGCGUAGGCGGUUAAAUAAGUCAGUGGUGAAAAGCUGCAGCUCAACUGUAGUCCUGCCAUUGAAACUGUUUUACUUGAGUAACCAUGAGGUAGGCGGAAUGUGUAGUGUAGCGGUGAAAUGCUUAGAUAUUACACAGAACACCGAUUGCGUAGGCAGCUUACUAGAGGUUCACUGACGCUGAUGCACGAAAGCGUGGGGAUCAAACAGGAUUAGAUACCCUGGUAGUCCACGCCGUAAACGAUGAUAACUCGCUGUUGGCGAUACACAGUCAGCGGCUUAGCGAAAGCGUUAAGUUAUCCACCUGGGGAGUACGCUCGCAAGAGUGAAACUCAAAGGAAUUGACGGGGGCCCGCACAAGCGGAGGAACAUGUGGUUUAAUUCGAUGAUACGCGAGGAACCUUACCUGGGCUUAAAUGUGAGACGACCGCCGAAGAAAUUUGGCUUUCCGCAAGGACGACUUACAAGGUGCUGCAUGGUUGUCGUCAGCUCGUGCCGUGAGGUGUCGGGUUAAGUCCCAUAACGAGCGCAACCCUUAUGAUUAGUUGCUAACAGGUCAAGCUGAGGACUCUAGUCAGACUGCCACCGUAAGGUGUGAGGAAGGUGGGGAUGACGUCAAAUCAGCACGGCCCUUAUGUCCAGGGCUACACACGUGUUACAAUGGCCGAUACAGAGGGCAGCAACCCCGCGAGGGGUAGCUAAUCCGGAAAAGUCGGUCUCAGUUCGGAUCGGAGUCUGCAACCCGACUCCGUGAAGCUGGAUUCGCUAGUAAUCGCGCAUCAGCCAUGGCGCGGUGAAUACGUUCCCGGGCCUUGUACACACCGCCCGUCAAACCAUGGGAGCCGAGGGUACCUGAAGUCUGUGACCGCGAGGAGCGGCCUAGGGUAAAAUUGGUGACUAGGGUUAAGUCGUAACAAGGUAAC
This 948-nucleotide ribosomal RNA is filed under the name uncultured bacterium. RNAcentral describes it as "bacterial SSU rRNA". It matches the Rfam family "Bacterial small subunit ribosomal RNA", at positions 541 to 1500 of the family's 1533-position model. The record is from RNAcentral.